GCUGGGCAUGGUGGUGCAUGACUGUAAUCCCAAUAACUUGGGAAGCUGAAGCAGGAGGAUCACAAGUUCAAAGCCAGCCUCAGCAACUUAGCGAGGCCCUAAGCGAGACCCUGUCUCAC
RNAcentral lists this small RNA (119 nucleotides) under Marmota monax (woodchuck). The record is from RNAcentral. Lineage: Eukaryota; Metazoa; Chordata; Mammalia; Rodentia; Sciuridae.